CCCCUCUCAAGAUUGCACCUGGAGAGUUUCCAGUACUCUGUCAGUUUCGGCUAUCGGAGGGAGACACAAGCAGAGGCCUUUCCAUUCCUAGCUUGGGCAGUGUCUAGAGAGUGGAAGGCAAUCUGCUACAAGA
Molecule: small nucleolar RNA, 133 nt
Organism: Ornithorhynchus anatinus (platypus)
Lineage: Eukaryota; Metazoa; Chordata; Mammalia; Monotremata; Ornithorhynchidae
Source: RefSeq, a predicted model, not a curated record